This 324-nucleotide ribosomal RNA is filed under the name uncultured eukaryote. RNAcentral's name for it is "partial 18S ribosomal RNA". It matches the Rfam family "Eukaryotic small subunit ribosomal RNA", at positions 1470 to 1796 of the family's 1831-position model. The record is from RNAcentral.
CCCUUAGAUGCUCUGGGCCGCACGCGCGCUACACUGGUCGAUGCAACGAGUUUCUUUCCUUGGCCGACAGGCCUGGGCAAUCUUUGAACAUCGAUCGUGAUCGGGAUAGAUUCUUGUAAUUUUUGAUCUUAAACGAGGAAUUCCUAGUAAACGCAAGUCAUCAGCUUGCGUUGAUUACGUCCCUGCCCUUUGUACACACCGCCCGUCGCACCUACCGAUUGAAUGGUCCGGUGAAAUCUCCGGACUGGCGUGAGUCGGAGCAAUCUGACAAACGCCGGAAAGUUGAUUAAACCUUACCAUUUAGAGGAAGGUGAAGUCGUAACA